ACAAGUUCUUUUUUCUCCUUGGGUCCCAGUUUCUCCAUCCAUAAUAUGUACGAGUUGGAGUAGAGGAUAUCUAGUGCUUGUCUUAGUGUUCACCUUCUAUGAUUCCAAUAACACUUGUCACUCUUGUAAGUGAAUUCCUGCUGAAAGUAUCACUGUCAUAAGAGAUUUUUUUGAGGUCUUCACAUGGGAACCCUUCAUCUGACUUUCUCAGAACUGGUUGAACCCUCCACAGAGUUGUGAACCAGAACUUUGGUUCUGGCUCCCCCACUUACUUGCUACUUCUGUGAUUCUGGUAUUUUACCUCUAUUAGUGAUUGCUUCGAUGUUAGCUCAGUGGUUCCCAAACUUUGCACGUUGGAAUCAUCUGAGGAUCCUUUAAACCUACUGAUGGCCACCCGCUACCCACAGCUCUUCUGAUUUAAUUGGGAUGUGAUAUGGGAAUUGAGGGUUCUAAAAGCUCACCCAGAUAAUUGUAAUGUGCAAUAAUGAUUGAGAACUAUUGUAUUCCUGACACUUAAACUAUUAGUGGGUAAUUAACUUAUGAGCUAAUAAGUGGCAAGCUAACAUGGAAAAAAACCAAGAGUCCCUCCUCUCUCUGAACUUAGAGAAGUUCUCCAGUGCCCUAAUGGUUCAAAGGAAGAGGACAGAAAUAGUGGUUAAGGUGGUAUUAUAGAGAAAGGGACCGCCCUGUCCCUUGUCCAGUGGCAGUCAACUAUGCAAGUAUAUUUUUCUCUCAUUUUUUCUCUGUUGCCCUUAACUGAUUUGAGACUCAGAUCUUAGUCAUUCUGAAUCAGAAUUGUGCUACAACUCCACACAUACUCAAAACAUAUGUUGUCACUUCUACGACCAAAGCAGACAUUUGCAAUCCAUCACUGGACUUAUUCCUGCUGGAUGAAACCCUGAAUGUGUCCUCCCAGGCUCUCACUACUCAGUGAUUCUGGUAGUCACUGCACCAAUGGGUCAGGGUUGGCAGGAAGACAUCUACUUAUCAUCCUGACUCCAAGGAAUACUUAUGCACAUAGAGGAACACAUUUUUUUUGGAGGAGGGGGAAAGGAUGUGUUGUAUAUUUUAUGGCCCUGUUCUCCUGAUGGUAACUUUGAGAAAUCACCUUCGCCCUGAUCUUCAGUUUAUUUAUCUGAAAUAGGAAAUUUGGAUCUUUUAGUCUACUAGUUGCAAAAGCAAAGGAGACCUGUCACUGCAGUAGUGUUUUCUGGAGUUCGAAUCAAUAUGAGACAAAUCGCAGAUUCAAUUGAAAGCUGCAUAUGGAAGAGUCAAUAUUUGAGAAAAGGGAACAUUGAGGCUGUUCAUCCUCACCUCAAGGAAUGAAGCAGAUUGAGAAACCGCAACUCAAUAAAAAAGAGAGAACUUCCAGCUUUUUGAGAUAGGUUCUAUAUUUUUUUUCUUAUUUAAGAGUAGUUUUAUAGAACUUAUUUUCCAGGUUUUUUUUUUUUUAAUAGAACUUAAAGUAAAUCUUGACUCAAAGCAUUGGAGAGGAUUGAAAUAUGAUUCCAUUUUCUCUCCCUCACCAUCUUUGAAUUUAAAAAUCAUAUCUGCUUUUUUUAUUUUCAAGAGCCAUGAACUUGCAAAGCUUAGUAAAGUAACAAGAAGCAUGAAUUGUGUGUGGUAGAGGGUGGAGUUUCAACACCUCUUUUAAGUUCCAUGGUCUCUAGGCUCUCUUCUUCAGAGGCAAUGAUGCUGCCUGGGAUCAAGACCAAGGAUAAAGUUCUCAUCCAAACUCUCAGGCUUCCAGGCCUAGCCACAUUAGAGCUUAGAAACCAUCCCUGUUCCUUUACUAUGUCAGUAUAGAGUGCUAUGAAUGGAGUCAAGACUUUAGAGCCAAACAAAUGGGGGUGCAAAUCCCAGCUUUGCUUCUUGCUCCGUGGCCUUAGACAGCUCCUCUAACUUCUUUGAGCCUUGGUUUCCACCACUAAAGAAGGGAUUAAUAAUGCCUGCCUCUCAGAAGUUCAAAAGUAAAGGGCCGAAAAGAAAGCCUGGCUCAGGGUAGAUGCUACUUGGUGAAAUUGCCUGGGCAAAUCUGCUCCAACUAUGACAGUGAUGACCUAUGCCUACCUUAAGAGGCCAAACUCCAAUCCUUUUACUUUCCCAUGAACUGGCAGACAAAACACCACAGUGGCCAUACCAACUUGGUGGAAAGUAAUAUUCUCUGGCUUGAUGCACAGGGACUCCAUUCUGUCAACCUCGGGAGAACUGCCAUCAUUCCCUGCCAUGUGGCUUUGGUGGGUUGCCAACCACAAGACACUGGACUUCCCUACCACAGAGAGGACAGGUGACCCAAGACACACCAAUCUGAUUCUCCUUCCUUAGAGCUUGAAUCUCAAUGGAAACAUGUAAGAAAGGCAACAACUUAGGACAAAGUCAUUCUAAGGCUGAAUGGGAAAAAAGACCACCUUCCAUGGAAAACUCGAGACCCUCCUUCUUUCCUGGCUUCACAAAGCCAUGCCAUUUAGGAUACUGACUCAUCCUCUUUCAAUUCUGAGCACUACCCAGUGCUGACUUAACCUCCCUUUUCUAUGCAAGAGUUAGAGCAGUGUCUUCUGCUGGCAAAGAAGAUGACACAUGAUAGAACUAUCCGGAUGUGGAUUGGGAGCUCCCUUUUUAAUAUAGUAUGACUGUACUUACUAGUCAACUUACCUCGAAGAGCAAAGGAUACAACUUUCAUGUAAGUAUGGGUUCCACUAGUGUAGACAGACAGUCUUUGGGCCAAAGGGGUUCUCAAAGGGCAUUCAGUCUAAUGUCCUCGUUUAAUAUCCAAGAAAUCUGAGGCCAGGGGGUGGAAAUACACACAUGUGUAUGCAUGUGUGUGUGUGUGUGUGUGAUAGUCAUUGUCCCAUUUUGUGUGUGUGUGUGGAUUGGAUAAAGAAUUUCCAGACUCAUAGUAGUGUGAAGAGAAAGAAGAGUUUACUGAGGGAAGAAACACUGCUAGCAUGGGGGGGGUGGCGACUUCCUGAUGAUCAGGGAGAGCCUUCUCCAAGCAUGUGGUUGCAUCUUUUUAUAGUCCAGGGCUAAAGGAGAGAGGAGAGGUCUUAGGGUGUACUUGCUGGUUUGUUAGGGAUGCAUAUUGCCCCGAUAGGGGUGGGGCGAGGAGUGGGCCAAAUACUUUCCUGGUAGGGGGCAGGAAGGAGUAAGGCAGCUUGCUCAGGAGGGGCUGGAGAACUCUGUAACAAUUGCAGUGGGAUGUGAGGAGCAAUAAGGCUCUGAUAACUUUUAUUCUGGCCAUAGGCUCUUUGAGUUGAUCUCUUUGGAGAGGCGUUGAAGUCCCACAUCCUAAAGUCAUUUGGUGGCAGACCUCAGUUUCGAGUUCAGAUCCCCUUACACCAAGCCUAGUGUGUUGUCUGUCUCUUGCCAUUCUGAACUUAUGCUUGUGGACAUAAUGCUUUGAGCUCAGCUCCUGAAAGGCCAUAAUGCUAGUUUUCAUCCUUGUAAAAGCUGAUGAGCUUUCCCUUGUGUCAGAGACGACGCCUGUGCCCCUGACCAGACCUCUGGCACUGAAGGGUAUUGGCUCAGAAGAAGCAAUGGAGGCUACCAUGUGAGAUUUAGGUUGCAUCCAGGCAGCCCAGAUCCACCAAAAAAAAAAAAAAAAAAAAA
This 3606-nucleotide long non-coding RNA is filed under the name Sus scrofa (pig). RNAcentral describes it as "lncRNA (ENSSSCG00045026323.1)". Lineage: Eukaryota; Metazoa; Chordata; Mammalia; Artiodactyla; Suidae. The record is from RNAcentral.